Molecule: long non-coding RNA, 1933 nt
Organism: Artibeus jamaicensis (Jamaican fruit-eating bat)
Lineage: Eukaryota; Metazoa; Chordata; Mammalia; Chiroptera; Phyllostomidae
Exons: 3
Source: RefSeq, a predicted model, not a curated record
CUGACGGGGCGUAAUUCGGCAGAGGUCUGGCCACCUCGGAGCCCGACCGAGAGCAAGUUGCUGCGCGCCCACCUCUCGAGAUGGAGGGGCUGCGUUUCUUGCACGUCACUGUGGGCUCUCUGCUGGCCACCUACAGCUGGUACAUCGUCUUCAGCUGCUUCCUUUUGAACCUGAUUUUUCAGAAGUUAUCAGCCUUGAUGCAGAGGCAGCUGGACCGAGCCGGCUACUGUGAAACCUGACAAUGCUGUGAAACGACAAGAGGCCUUAGCAGCCGCUCGCCUGAAAAUGCAGGAAGAACUGAACGCACAGGUGGAAAAGCAUAAGGAGACACUCAGACAGGCAUGAAGCACUUUGCGUAGGUGGCCCUAACGGUGUGAGGCUGAGUGAGUGAAGCCGUGUGCACACCCUCGGGUGGGGCCUGGGACCAGCUUGUCUGCAGCACCAUCUCCAGUAGAACUGGUGAGGUGGCCGGGGGAGUUUCCUGUUGGGGCAGAGACUCGUGGUUCCCUCACAGCAGGCCUCACAUAACAGGUCUGUGUAGAUGCCACGCCACCAGACACACACGGUACACGUUCUGUGUGCCACAUGUGAAGCUGUGUGCCACAUGUGAUCUGUCCUUGUGGGGGCCACGCUGCAGUGGAUUGAAGGGUUCAGUGGGUGUUUUGAAAGGUCUUUCUAAAAGCACGGGGUGGUUUGGGGACAUUUGUAAAAGUCACACACCACCCCUGAGAAGUGUAGACUCUUUUUCAAUCCAGAUGUUUACUUCUGGGCUCCUCUCUUCCCUAAGGCAGCACCAGAGCUGGUCCCUGUCUCGGUCCUGUGCCCUCCUCCCACUUUCCUUUUGUUGCUUCUGUGGUCAUCCAGCCUGCAGCUGCUCUUCCCAGCCUGCUAACCACACCUGACCCCUUCUCAUCACACUGUUCCAGCAGCCUUUUUCCUGGGUCACCUCCUUGCUCAUCUUCUGCUAACCCAAAAUGCACACUUCCUUUGAUCCUUUCAAAGCACAGGUUUGGUCUCUGCGAGCUGCUGGAGGUCACACAGACCUCUGUGAGGAAGGGCCGGGGGUAGAGGCCUUGCUCUCUCCUCCAGGAUGCUCAUUUUCUGGGACAUCUGGUCAACCUACUGGAGCCCCUGCUUCUUUUACUGGGACAUCUGGUCGACCUACCAGGGGCCCCUGCUCUUUCUUCUAAUUCUACCUCCCUUCUCUUCUCUCCUUCAUUUCUCCCCCUUCUCCAAUCAUUACAUUUUUGGUGUGUCUUCAAACCCCAUCAACACAUCCACUGGGCAGCAGUCUUAAUGGCACACAAGUAGAGUUAGGGGAUGUUUUUAGAAUCACUGCACUAAGGAAUCCCACACACAGUAAGUGCAGAGCUCUCUUUUCUGCACAGCACAGCACUUGGCUCAGGCUCAUUAUUCUCUGCUUUCUCUCACACUGCACCAUCCUCUCAAUAGUCCCCACCCAAAAGGAACAAAGGGUAUGGAAAUAGCCUCUCAUUUUCAGGGUCACUUUUGUCAUGGGGUCCCCUGGUACUACCCUCAGCUUCCCCAUACUGCCAGGCAGCACCCCACUUCAGUGUACAGGGGAGCAGGGCCAGCCCUUCACUGCUAAUCUACUGGUCUCUGAGCAGCUUUCUUCUGUUCACCCACACAGCACUCCACAGGUGCUGUCUUCAGCUGGAGUGUUCCCUAACUUCUAUUCCACUUUCAGGGUGUGGCCACGGCUCCUGUUAUUCUAAGAGGCCUCCUUUGGAUUCACAAGUCACCAAACAGUGGGGGAAAGUGGCUAAUUUGGUAACUCGUCACCCCAUAUCACCAUGGCAAAGACCAGGGGCAGUGUGUUCUCACACAGAUACGCACCUCUGUUUGGUGGAAAUUAUUCCCUCUGCUUCCUCAGGUUACUGCUCCUGGAGACCUGGACGGACAGGCCCCACAG